GUGCGCCUACGGGACGCAGCAGUGAGGAAUAUUGGUCAAUGGGCGCGAGCCUGAACCAGCCAAGCCGCGUGAGGGAGGAAGGUACAGAGUAUCGUAAACCUCUUUUGUCAGGGAACAAAGGCGGGGACGUGUCCCCGGAUGAGUGUACCUGAAGAAAAAGCAUCGGCUAACUCCGUGCCAGCAGCCGCGGUAAUACGGAGGAUGCGAGCGUUAUCCGGAUUUAUUGGGUUUAAAGGGUGCGCAGGCGGUCUGUUAAGUCAGCGGUCAAAGCCCGGGGCUCAACCCCGGCCCGCCGUUGAAACUGG
This 305-nucleotide ribosomal RNA is filed under the name uncultured bacterium. RNAcentral describes it as "bacterial SSU rRNA". It matches the Rfam family "Bacterial small subunit ribosomal RNA", at positions 333 to 636 of the family's 1533-position model. The record is from RNAcentral.